RNAcentral lists this long non-coding RNA (2002 nucleotides) under Daucus carota (carrot). RNAcentral describes it as "long non-coding RNA (DCAR_LNC000558)". Lineage: Eukaryota; Viridiplantae; Streptophyta; Magnoliopsida; Apiales; Apiaceae. The record is from RNAcentral.
UCACACACACAGUGUGUGUGACCAAUCACACAAUUCACAAUUCAAAACCCUAGGUUUCAUUCCCAAACCAUUUCAUUAUUACAUAUAUUCAAAUCAUUUCAUUCUCAAAUCGCUUCCGCCGAUUACAUCUCUGUUCUUAAUUUUUCUCAGAUCUUGUUGAACUAAUCAUCAACAAUGGUUCAACUCUUGGUUAUACUCCUUGCCCUUUCAAAAAGCAUGAUUCAAGGAAGAGUUCGGUUCGUUAUGGGUUUUUUGUGUUCGAUUCACAAGGGUGGUGGAAGAGCUCAUAUACAAUAGUCUCGAUGCUGGUGCUACAAAGGUAUUUGUUGCUUUGGUUGUUGGCACAGGCUACAUCAAAGUGAAAAGACACUGAUACGAUCUUCAGUUGAGUUAUAUAGUAUCAAGUAAGUUUUUCUCUCUUCAAGAUUGAAAAAUCACUUCGAAAUCAAGACGAUCUUUGUCAUGUUCUUUCUGAAAUUCAUAUCCUUAUUAUUAAAACCUCUUUUUAAUCAUGAAUUUAGUCUCGAUUUACCGUCAAAUCUUAUAUUUUUUUAUAUCUUUGUUCAUUAUUUAGUAUGUAUUAUUUGUCUUAUAAACCAUCCUUUUGAGACUUUUUGUGAAUCUUUUUAUUACUAAAUUAGGUUUGGAUCGUUUCUUUUGAUUUAUAUCUUCUUGAUUUAGUGUGUAUGAAGGUGCAUUUUUAUAAGUUUCUUGAAAGUGAGAUAUAUGAUUAUUUGUUCGUGUUGCCUCUAUAAUCUUUGUACGAAUAAUUUACAUUAAAUUCUUAUCUUUGGUUAUUGCUUUAGAUCAUCAAAAGAUAUAUCCAUAAAAUAUAUUAGUUUGCAUGUAUUUUCAUGACUUUAUAUUAUACAAAUUUUGUAUAUCGGUCUUUUUCACUUUUAAGUUAUUAAGGAUCUUCUUUUACGAUCUUCAUAUCGUGAUGUUUUUUGGAAAAACUAAUAAAUUAGCAUUACUUUCAUAGUGUAACUUUAGGCAAGAAAUUAUUGUGAUUUAUAUGUUUUAAAUGUGUUUUUAAUGCUCUUUCAAAAUGUGUUGAAAGUUGGUCAAUUAUUCGUGAGUGAUAUAUGUUAUAAUCAAUUAGUUUCUUAUUUUGAAAAUUGAUUCCUUUUAUAAAGUUCUUAAGAUUCAAAUUUUGAAUAUUUUCAAAUAAAUGUUGUUAAUUAGACGGUUUUAUAUUGUGCAAAUGUGUUAUACAUAUCAUUUAAUUUUCUUUAUUGUUCAUAAAUGAUUUUGAUUAAGCAGUCAAGUCUUAUGGCUUGUUUGGUGACUUUUAUAGUCAAAGUACCAUUUUGGGGGGCCAUGAUUGAUGGCAUAAUUGUGCCUUUAAGAGGUAUUUUAGGUCAUAUUGAUGACUAGAUUCAUUGUAUUAAAUUUAGAAUAUAUUAUUUCUUUUACUUUGUGAUGUUAUGAUAACCCUUUCGUUGACUAAUUGGAUAAUUAAAUAAUAAAUUUACGAUGAUUGGGAUAUAAAUAUUUUUUAAUUUUGAUUUCUUUAUUUCCCUAACAAAAAUCUUAAGUUUUUUUAUGUAUUUUUGUUCUCAUAAGAAAGAUUAGUAUGUAUUAUGAUUUAUUUAGUAUUGCGUGUCUAACCAAAGUUCUUACUUUGGUUAGACAUGAUCAAUUUUCAUAAUUGUAUCUUAUUUUUGUUAGUUCUAAAAUUCUUAUUUUUGAAUAAGAUGUUAUAUUAUUAUUAUUUAUUUUAUCAGGAUAUAUAUGUCAUAGUUGGGUUUAAUUUCCUCCAACCUAUUUUUUUUCUUUAAUUUAUCAUUCUUAUGCUUGUUUUUGCUUGCUAUGUUUUUCAGGAUCUUGGAGAGAGACCUUACGGGUUUUCUUAUCAGACUUUAAAGUCUUAUUAUCUAAACGUCCGGAGAUAUCUUUGCGUAUCUUUCGGUUAGAUGAUAAACUUUAUUGGAUGAAAGUAAUCCCUGAUGCGGCUAUUGUAUCUAUGAUACAACUCAUCUACGAGUAUGUAGAUCCUGAC